AUCGCUUCUCAGCCUUUUGGCUAAGAUCAAGGUAGUA
This 37-nucleotide small nuclear RNA is filed under the name Cervus elaphus hippelaphus. The record is from RNAcentral. Lineage: Eukaryota; Metazoa; Chordata; Mammalia; Artiodactyla; Cervidae.